Molecule: long non-coding RNA, 1122 nt
Filed under: Triticum aestivum (bread wheat)
Lineage: Eukaryota; Viridiplantae; Streptophyta; Magnoliopsida; Poales; Poaceae
Description: long non-coding RNA (TAES_LNC024609)
Source: RNAcentral
CGUGUGCUUGUGGCAGUGGGCAGAUCCGGCGCCGGAGGAGGCCAAGGCGUAGGAUGAUGGGGGCGGUGUUUAAGAAGGUUUGCCGUCGCGUGCACCAGGAACUCGAUCCAGUUCAGAUUUGGCUCGAUUUUAUUUGGUUUGUUUCCUAAUCCUUUUUAAUGUACCUUAUCUCGAGAUUACCUGCGAUCUAACCUUCUUAGAUACUGCUUGCACACAAUGAACCUUCCUAUAAUACAUGGCAAUUUUUUUGAGAAAGACCAUACACAUUUUGUACACGAUGAGCAUAAAAAGGAACAAAGAAUAGAAUAGAAACAGGAAAAAUGCAAUUAGGAAAUGAAAAUAAAAACUAUACAUAACAUAAAACAACAUAAAGCGAAAAGGGGAACGAAAACAAAAACACGUGCCAAACCGGAACAAAAAACACCCGACCAAAUCACAUGAAGCAAGCUUGCGUGAAAAGAAUGAAAAAUAACCACCUCAUGGGCUGCGCAACCCAUGAACCGGCUCUUGUUCAUGCCAAAAUGCACACCCUGAUAGGCGAUAAAUAGCUUCUACGACACACAUACUCCAUGGGGGCGUGUCUUGUGAGCGGAUUGGCCCGGACACGUCAUUUCAGUUACUAUUAUGCGAAUCGCGCUAAACACAUCCCGCCUUUUAUACACUCUUAUGUGCGCAACUCCAUGCACAUCAGAAGGGUCCUUUGUUUAGGUCAGGUCUAGGUUCCCCAAAUGGUCUUGUUCCCGCACGCUCAAACUCCUCCAAGCGAUUGCCUCUCCCUCACGCCGCGUCCCAUGCUCCGGGGAAGAGACGUUGUUCAAUGGAGCGCGCGUGCUUGCGGCAGCGGGCAGAUCCGGUUCCACAGGAGGCCCAAAGGGAGGAUCCGCGGCGGCGGUGUUUAAGGAGGUUUGCCGUCACGUGCACCAGGGGUCCAAUUCAGUUCCGAUUUGGCUCGAUUUUACUUGGUUAGUUUCCUAAUCCUUUUCAAUCUACCUUAUCUCGAGAUUACAUGUGCGCUAACCUUCUUAUAUAGUGUUUGUACACAAUGAACCUUUGUAUAAUAUAUACAUGGUAAUUUUUUGAAAAGGACUAUGAACAUCUUCUACACGAUGAGCAGAAAAAAUA